RNAcentral lists this ribosomal RNA (446 nucleotides) under uncultured bacterium. RNAcentral's name for it is "bacterial SSU rRNA". It matches the Rfam family "Bacterial small subunit ribosomal RNA", at positions 330 to 793 of the family's 1533-position model. The record is from RNAcentral.
ACCAGACUCCUACGGGAGGCAGCAGUGGGGGAUAUUGCACAAUGGGGGGAACCCUGAUGCAGCGACGCCGCGUGGGUGAAGAAGCGCCUCGGCGCGUAAAGCCCUGUCAGCAGGGAAGAAAAUGACGGUACCUGAAGAAGAAGCCCCGGCUAACUACGUGCCAGCAGCCGCGGUAAUACGUAGGGGGCAAGCGUUAUCCGGAUUUACUGGGUGUAAAGGGGGCGCAGACGGCGAUGCAAGCCAGGAGUGAAAGCCCGGGGCCCAACCCCGGGACUGCUCUUGGAACUGCGUGGCUGGAGUGCAGGAGGGGCAGGCGGAAUUCCUGGUGUAGCGGUGAAAUGCGUAGAUAUCAGGAGGAACACCGGCGGCGAAGGCGGCCUGCUGGACCGUGACUGACGUUGAGGCUCGAGAGCGUGGGGAGCAAACAGGAUUAGAUACCCCUGUAA